GAGUUUGAUCGUGGCUCAGAACGAACGCUGGCGGCAUGCCUAACACAUGCAAGUCGAACGAGACCUUCGGGUCUAGUGGCGCACGGGUGCGUAACGCGUGGGAAUCUGCCCCUCGGUUCGGAAUAACACAGAGAAAUUUGUGCUAAUACCGGAUAAUGACGAAAGUCCAAAGAUUUAUCGCCGAGGGAUGAGCCCGCGUAGGAUUAGCUUGUUGGUGGGGUAAUGGCCUACCAAGGCGACGAUCCUUAGCUGGUCUGAGAGGAUGAUCAGCCACACUGGGACUGAGACACGGCCCAGACUCCUACGGGAGGCAGCAGUGGGGAAUAUUGGACAAUGGGCGAAAGCCUGAUCCAGCAAUGCCGCGUGAGUGAUGAAGGCCUUAGGGUUGUAAAGCUCUUUUACCCGGGAUGAUAAUGACAGUACCGGGAGAAUAAGCUCCGGCUAACUUCGUGCCAGCAGCCGCCGU
Molecule: ribosomal RNA, 466 nt
Filed under: uncultured Alphaproteobacteria bacterium
Lineage: Bacteria; Pseudomonadati; Pseudomonadota; Alphaproteobacteria
Description: bacterial SSU rRNA
Rfam family: Bacterial small subunit ribosomal RNA
Source: RNAcentral